GAUGAACGCUGGCGGCGUGCCUAAUACAUGCAAGUCGAGCGAACAGACGAGGAGCUUGCUCCUCUGACGUUAGCGGCGGACGGGUGAGUAACACGUGGAUAACCUACCUAUAAGACUGGGAUAACUUCGGGAAACCGGAGCUAAUACCGGAUAAUAUAUUGAACCGCAUGGUUCAAUAGUAAAAGACGGUUUUGCUGUCACUUAUAGAUGGAUCCGCGCCGCAUUAGCUAGUUGGUAAGGUAACGGCUUACCAAGGCAACGAUGCGUAGCCGACCUGAGAGGGUGAUCGGCCACACUGGAACUGAGACACGGUCCAGACUCCUACGGGAGGCAGCAGUAGGGAAUCUUCCGCAAUGGGCGAAAGCCUGACGGAGCAACGCCGCGUGAGUGAUGAAGGUCUUCGGAUCGUAAAACUCUGUUAUUAGGGAAGAACAAAUGUGUAAGUAACUAUGCACGUCUUGACGGUACCUAAUCAGAAAGCCACGGCUAACUACGUG
Molecule: ribosomal RNA, 497 nt
Filed under: uncultured bacterium
Lineage: Bacteria
Description: partial 16S ribosomal RNA
Rfam family: Bacterial small subunit ribosomal RNA
Source: RNAcentral